Molecule: ribosomal RNA, 551 nt
Filed under: uncultured bacterium
Lineage: Bacteria
Description: bacterial SSU rRNA
Rfam family: Bacterial small subunit ribosomal RNA
Source: RNAcentral
CCGUAAACGAUGAGUGCUAAGUGUUAGGGGGUUUCCGCCCCUUAGUGCUGCAGCUAACGCAUUAAGCACUCCGCCUGGGGAGUACGACCGCAAGGUUGAAACUCAAAGGAAUUGACGGGGGCCCGCACAAGCGGUGGAGCAUGUGGUUUAAUUCGAAGCAACGCGAAGAACCUUACCAGGUCUUGACAUCCCAAUGACCGUCUUAGAGAUAAGACUUUCCCUUCGGGGACAUUGGUGACAGGUGGUGCAUGGUUGUCGUCAGCUCGUGUCGUGAGAUGUUGGGUUAAGUCCCGCAACGAGCGCAACCCUUAUUCUUAGUUGCCAUCAUUUAGUUGGGCACUCUAAGGAGACUGCCGGUGACAAACCGGAGGAAGGUGGGGAUGACGUCAAAUCAUCAUGCCCCUUAUGACCUGGGCUACACACGUGCUACAAUGGACGGUACAGAGAGCUGCAAGCCCGCGAGGGUUAGCCAAUCUCAUAAAACCGUUCUCAGUUCGGAUUGUAGUCUGCAACUCGACUACAUGAAGCCGGAAUCGCUAGUAAUCGCGGAU